Molecule: small nuclear RNA, 23 nt
Filed under: Arabidopsis thaliana (thale cress)
Lineage: Eukaryota; Viridiplantae; Streptophyta; Magnoliopsida; Brassicales; Brassicaceae
Description: snRNA_15262
Source: RNAcentral
CAAUGUUCCUUGUAACACUAUUA